UCCCAUGGCUCAAUUUUUUUAUUGCUCUACUUGUGCUUCCAAUUUUGCCACUCAUUCGUUCAACUCCACUCCAAAUUCCUUUUCUUCUUAAAGUUCCUUACUUUGUUUAGAAAUGCUGUGGUUAGGCUUGGGACCCCAUCGACUUCCAUGCUGGUAUCUAGAUUUUGGCCAAAAGCUUGAGCCAAGUGCUCCUCCAAAGUCAAAAGAGAACCACUCUCUUCUUGUUGGGUUUCUACCA
This 238-nucleotide long non-coding RNA is filed under the name Elaeis guineensis (African oil palm). Its description in RNAcentral is "long non-coding RNA (EGUI_LNC032515)". Lineage: Eukaryota; Viridiplantae; Streptophyta; Magnoliopsida; Arecales; Arecaceae. The record is from RNAcentral.